GAUACACGAGUCCCGAGAGGAGGAGCGAUGGGCAGAGGGAUAUACGAGUCCCAGUUCUCGGGUGCAGAGUGGCGGAUCUGUUCCGGGAACUAAAAUAUGCGGCCUUGAUUGAGAACAGCACGCCCCACUCCUCGCCGCCUCUGGAAGCGGCUGCCCCGUCUCUGGCUGUGGUCACUCGGCUGCCCCCUGACCCCGCACGAUAAGCAGCGCGAUAAGCGGCGACUCCCCGUGGGACCGCGCCUGCCUUGUCCCGCAGUGCUGCUCUCAGUGGCCAUCCCCCGCUGCGGCUCUUUAAUUGUAUUCCUUUUAUUCUGCUCCAUACAUUCUAUUCACAUCUGGCCCCCCUCUCGGUGCAGCCCUUUUGGCCACACCUGUCAGAGGCGACAGUCACCCGCCGGCCCCUCGGCCCGCACCGCGGAGCAGCUUCCAGAGCCCGGGCAGCCACCAGAGGGGCUCGCACCGCACCCCCAGCUCGGUGCGGCUCUUCUAGCGCCUUCUGGCCCUCGGGGCAGCUUUUCUGGUGGCUCCAGCAGUGGCCAUGGCUCAGUCCCGCUCCAGUAUCGCCGCCUCGCCCGUCCCGCGGCGCAGCUCUUUGGGACGCCGGGCAGCGGCCACCCCAAGGGGCAGUCGCCCCGCUUCGUGUAGUCCCUUCACCGCCACCUCAUCCCGGGGAGAAAAUUUCUGGGGAAAUAUUUAUACCUAGCAUACCCCUGACUUCUCUUGCUGCUACAGAAUUCUUACGUAGGCUGAGAUUCUUCUUUGGAAAAACAAUCAGUGCCUGAAAUAAUUAAGAAUUAAUUAAGCAUUGAGUUGGUCUGUUGUUAAGUAAUCUUCCAGGCGUUUAUUAGAAGAAAGCAUAAUUAAAAAAAAUUAAAAAUCGGUCUUUUAUGUUUGUUUGUUUUCCUUUUUUAUUAUUAUUUUUUUAUUUUAUUUUUCCCCUCCCUUUUUCUUUGCCCCGAGACAUCAGACUUUGGGUUGGUUUGGGCUCGGUUUCGCGGUCCCGCCCUGUCCCGCUCCACACCUCGAGGAGUCAGUGGCGGGACCGCCCAGCGCCGCUACCCGGGAUCAAACAAUGAGCAGGGAAUUUUCCAUGCGCCCCAGCACCCGGGGCAGAGGCAAAUCUGCGGCUAUAAACGGCGUUUUUUAGGGAGUAAUGAAUGCCCAGUGCGGUUUUUUCCACGCAUAAUUGCAUAAUUUCUCCCUAUUUUUUUUUUUUUUUCCCCCAUGAAAAACCCGAAGCUGAUCAAUUGUGGGGCAAUUCGAUUUUUGGGAACAUAGAACUUAUUUUACUGUUUUAUCUUCCUUAUGUAUAACUAUAAUUCCUGGUUAGUAUUGUAAACAUUAUUUUAUGUGUUUUUUUAUUAUUUUCAUAGCUCUACAAUAAAAAUUGCAAUUACACUUAAACACGCAUAUGUCUUACAUUAAAAUGAGAUAUAAUACACUGAAACUCCGUUAACGUUGUUAUGGCUAAAAUACACACGACGGUGGGUUUUUACUGCACUUUAACCCUCCCGCUCCAAGCUGGCAUCUACAUGAGCUCCAGGGAACUCUGCCCACGUGCCACAUUCCUGCUUUAAUCCUUGUCUCCUGGAGCCCCCUCCUGGCCGCACUCUGCUUCCCCCGCUGCAGCCGGAGGGGUCAGAAUUCGCCUUGCCAAGGGCUCGUCCCUCCCAGGCCCCGGCUGCCGCUGCCUGCCUUCCCUUCUCUCCGCAAAUCCCCGCUGUCUCGCCCCUCGCCACUUCCAGGGAUACCCUGUCCAGGCUCCUUUCGGUGCGCGCUUCCCCGAGCGCGUCCUGUAAACAACCAUGGCCGCGGGAAGCGCCUUCAGAUGCCUCCAGGAGGAAACCACCUGCGCUGUCUGCUUGGAUUUCUUCCAGGAUCCUGUGACGAUCCUGAGCUCUGCCGGCGCUGCCCGUGGCGGUGAGCGGCGGGCGGCGCUCGGUGUCCGCAGUGCCGGGUGCCGCUCCCGCACGGCGCCUUCCGCCCCAGCCGGCGGAUGGCCAGUGUGGUGGCGAUCGUGCAGGAGCUGUGCCACCGGCACCAGAGACCCCUCACUCCCUUCUGUUACCGCGAUAGAGUCCCCGUCUGCGCCGCCUGCCUCUCGAAGAGGCCGCUCGCUGGUACAGGGUGAGCGGAUCCCCGUCUCACUCUCCCCCUGCCUGAGCGACGCUAAUUUCCCUUAAAACUCAGCUCCCAGAAUAUGUAUUUUGAGCAGGGGGAAAGCAUUUCCCUAUCUUUCUAGGGACAAAAAACCCCAGCAAACCAAGGUAAGCAUCUAGAAGCCAAAACUGAGGUGAAAUGCUGCAAUUUGGUGAUAGUUAAGUAUGAAACAGUACAGUUUUUUUUUGGGACCAAAACUAAAUACUGGAGAUUGCAAACUCCUGCUCUCACACAGCACCUACACUGUGAAGAGUCCUUAUUCUGCUUCUGGGUGCAGAGGGGAAAUGGGGGUCCCAAAAAGGGCUUUGGACCUGGCUGGGGAUGCAGGGAGUAGGGGAAAGGGGAUGGAAACUGAAGGGUAGUGGGAGCUUCUUAAGGCCUGGUGGCAACUUUUUUACAGGAGACCUUGGAGAGAUGGGCUAUCCCAGCCUGGAUAUCCCAGUGUCCACUUAUUACUGUGUGUUUACAUAAAUGUACAGAUAAGGUGAGAGUGUGCAUGCAGCAUAGCUGAAGUUCACCAAAACAUGGAUAAGCAUGUACGUAUCUACUUCAGUGCAGCUGCAGAGGGUGAGUAUGGGGCCAUCUGUACUGGCUAUAUCCCUGAUGCUUUAAGGGUCCCAGCCCCCAUCUCCUUUUCUUCCCUUCUGCAGGAGUCUAAACACCUUCCCUCUGCAGAAGCAGUUUGAAAAUUCCCUAAAAACCCUGCAAGAGGAGGACAAGAGAUGUGCUGGGCUGACUGAGGCAGCAAAGGACACAAGGCUAGAGAUGCUGGUGGGUGGUGCUGCCAUCUGGGUGCACCACAGGGCCAAACUGCUUCAUUCCCUCUCCAGCAUCCUUCUCCUUCUCCUUCUCCUUCUCCUUCAUCCCCCAGACUCGAGUUAGUGCUGAGAAGCAGAAGCUGCAGGCGAUGCUGAAAGGGCUCUGCCUGGUGCUGAGUGACCAGGAAUCACUGUUCCUUUCCUGAUUCCAUCGCUUGAGAUGGAGGUUGGAGGAACAGCAACGUGAUGAAGAUGCUGAGAUGUCAUGGAUCCAGCAAAGCCGUGCAGAGCUCCAGGCCAAGUGCCAGCAACCAGAUGGUGACCUGCUGGGGAAUGCCCAAACAAACUUGAGCAGGUAUUGGAGCCAAAAAGCAUCACCAGGAACACCAGUUUUGGCCCCAAAUGGUCCAUUUUUCCAAUCAUCUUCUCACCCUGUGUUCUUUUCCUCUGGGAUUUUUGCUUUGGAGCUGGAUGGGGUUGAAGGUUAACCCAAACUUGGUGAUGGUGGGGGAAUCUUCCAUCAUAUCGUGCAGGAGUGGGAGCCUCGCCUAGGGAAGUAGAGAUGUCUCAGUGGUUUUCUAGGAAUGGGGAAAGGAAAUUUGGGCAUUUUUUGGCAUUAAACACCCCAGUUCGCUCUCCUUGAGGUGUGCAGGGAGGAAGGUGCAGCCAUCACUGUUCUGAUGAUGUCAGAACUGGAAACAGAGCUUGAGGACUUUACUUGAAAAACCAACACGCUGACAGAGGCAGUGACACAAUCCAAAGGUGCUUGGAGGGUAAAAAUUGGCAAAAAAGGGGAAUUUGUUAAGCAGAAAUAGGAAACUGGGGUGGUUCUGGGAGGGUGAAGAACUCCAGGGUUGGCAGAUUUAGCUGGAAAGUGAAAGCAUCACAAAUGCUCAUUUAAUUAAAAGAAAAUAGAGGAUUUAUUCCUGAUUAGCCUUAAGGGAUAGAAAACUGAAGGUGGGAGGUGCAGAAUGCUGUUGAUGGUUAAUUAGCAUCCAAAUUAGGACAGUAAUUAUGUGUGGAGGAUGGUCAUGCCCCAGAUGAAGGGAGUUGUGUCUCCCACCUCAGGUGGUCUUGCCUUCUCCAUGCAACAGGGUUUGGGUGGAUGUGGGGAAGGGCCAGGGCCAGAUCCAGAGGUAAAAAUCUGUGGGGUCAUCUUCUAUUUCCAGACAUGUUGGAGUGCUCUUUGGAGAAAGACUCAGAGGGAUCCCUGAGUGUGGGAAAUGCAGGCACAGAAAGCUCUCAAGGCCUUGAGCAUACAGGCUCAGAAAUAGAUAUGGAUACAAAGUUUGACCUGAGACCUUGGAGAAGGCUUGGCACUUUAGCACAAUAACGUGAAACAGACAUGAAGCAAGGAUAGAAGUUUGUAGUUUAAGCAGAGCUAUGUUUUAAGCAAGCAGAAAUAUGCCUCAUGGAAGGGAAUAAAUCUGUUAACUAAGACAGUAGAAAAUUUUAAAGUUUAGCAAUAGAACUUGUUAUAAAGUAGAAAUGAAAGAUGUAGUAAUGUACGUUCCAGUAGUGUUAUAUGACUGGAUGAAAAAGAUGCAUUGUGGUAGAAUUGUGUAAGACAAAGCAAUUAAUGAUUGAUUUAUGAGGAUGCUAGUGAGCUUUGUAAAAAUUGUUGAUUGGCUAAGAAAUUUAUAAAAGGCAUUGUAGCUAUAAUUAAUACAGCUGCUGCUGCUGCUGCUGAUGACGUUUGAUGUAACAGCCUUACUGUCUUGCCCUUCCAUGAGACUGAUUUUGCAAUAAAACACCUUUUACAACGUCU
This is a long non-coding RNA of Parus major (Great Tit), 4686 nucleotides long. RefSeq lists it as uncharacterized. NCBI's taxonomy places the organism in Eukaryota, Metazoa, Chordata, Aves, Passeriformes, Paridae. The transcript is spliced from 2 exons. The record is from RefSeq and is a predicted model, not a curated record.